This 1183-nucleotide long non-coding RNA is filed under the name Gallus gallus (chicken). RNAcentral describes it as "lncRNA (ENSGALG00010003760.1)". Lineage: Eukaryota; Metazoa; Chordata; Aves; Galliformes; Phasianidae. The record is from RNAcentral.
GAUAAAUUCAGUAUUGAUCCCUUCUGCCGCGCGGUAAAUUUUGCAAGAAAAAAAAAAAGAAAGAUUAAAUAGUUCAAUAGAGCCUGCGAGCACCGUGGCUCAAUAUGUUCCGGGACGGCGUAUCGACCCCUCCGUCCGACGGCAGCAACUUCCACUCCCAGCCCUGCCAGACCAGUAAUUAAAAUCCUGGGAGACUGGGAUUUAAAAAGCAAUCAUCUCACUGCGCCGAAGCUUAACGUCCCGCCGUGGCGAGGGCAAUAAGCGUGCGAGCGGCCGAGUGCUUAAGGGUAGUUCCCCCGUAGGGCAGGGGAGCAAAUUAGGUCCCUCUCGGAGUGGUCGUGGGCACGGUGACGUUGUGUUUGGGGUGUUUAACAGCUCCGCACGCGUGGAGGGAGUGAGAGAGGAGGUGGGUCUUCGCUUUCCCUUCCCGUCGUGCUGCUGUGCAGGCAGAGGGUGGGCAGCACCGACCUUCGUCCCCAGUAGGAUCAGCCAGCUUGUUCUGUAAGGGGCUGUGGAGGACAGGAGGCUUUCCCGAGCCCAUGUGCGCCAGCACCGUCCACUGAGGCAGCUAAGAAAGGAGAUCCCGAGCCGUGGAGUCGUAGAAUGAUGAAGGAAGAGACCUCCAAGGUCUGUCUUGGUCAUUGAGAACCUUACAAACCGCUGAUUCUGGUGGCCCGGCGCAGCGCUCACCUGCAUCCGGACUCCUUCAGGCAGCAAAAUGGACCUCAUCGGCCAACAUCUGUUGUACAGCGACCGAAGUGUGGAAACACCGUGGUUGGAAAUGACCUCCAAGAUCCCCAAAUCAACACCAACCCAUCCCCACCAUGUUUUGCUUGUAGAAUCGGAGUCAUUAAGGCUGGCAAUGACCUCCAACAUCCCCAGAUCCAACCACCAACCCAUCCCCACCGUGUUUGCUCAGAGAAUCGGAGCCAUUAAGGUUGGAAAUGACCUCCAAGAUCCCCAAAUCCAACCGCCAACCCAUCCCCACUGUGUUUGCUCAUAGAAUCGGAGUCAUUAAGGCUGGCAAUGACCUCCAAGAUCCCCGUGUCCAACCACCAACCCAUCCCCACCGUGUUUGCUCAUAGAAUCAGAGUCAGUAAUGUUGGAAAUGGCCUCCAAGAUCCCCAAAUCCAACCACCAACCCAUCCCCACCGUGUUUGCUCAGAGAAUCGGAGUCAUUAAG